GGAAGGUUUCCAUAUAGUAUAACCCUCACCCAAAGUGAAACACGGGGGGGGCCUUAAACACACCCAUGGGGGACACAAAGGGGAAAACUGAUCUCCGUGUUAUAGGCGGGAGACAGGGUGAGGCCACCGAGGGUUAACCUACCCUUAAAAACGGGGUAAUUUUCGGGAAACCAGGGUUUAAUCCCGGUUAAUUUAUUGACCCCACUGGUUCCAAUUGUGAAAAGCGGUUUUGGCGUUCCAUUUUAAGAUGGACCCGCGCCCGUUUUAGCCUAGUUGUUAAGGUAACGGCUUUACCAAGGCAAGGGUUAGUUGGCGGUCCUGGGAGGGGGAUCGGCCCCCCUGGAAUUGGGACCACGUUCCAGAUUCCUACGGGAGGCAGCAGUAGGGAAUUUUUCCGCAAUGGGCGAAAGCCUGACGGAGCAACGCCGCGUGAGUGAUGAAGGUCUUAGGAUCGUAAAACUCUGUUGUUAGGGAAGAACAAAUUUGUUAGUAACUGAACAAGUCUUGACGGUACCUAACCAGAAAGCCACGGCUAACUACGUGCCAGCAGCCGCGGUAAUACGUAGGUGGCAAGCGUUAUCCGGAAUUAUUGGGCGUAAAGCGCGCGUAGGCGGUUUCUUAAGUCUGAUGUGAAAGCCCACGGCUCAACCGUGGAGGGUCAUUGGAAACUGGGGAACUUGAGUGCAGAAGAGGAGAGUGGAAUUCCAUGUGUAGCGGUGAAAUGCGCAGAGAUAUGGAGGAACACCAGUGGCGAAGGCGGCUCUCUGGUCUGUAACUGACGCUGAUGUGCGAAAGCGUGGGGAUCAAACAGGAUUAGAUACCCUGGUAGUCCACGCCGUAAACGAUGAGUGCUAAGUGUUAGGGGGUUUCCGCCCCUUAGUGCUGCAGCUAACGCAUUAAGCACUCCGCCUGGGGAGUACGACCGCAAGGUUGAAACUCAAAGGAAUUGACGGGGACCCGCACAAGCGGUGGAGCAUGUGGUUUAAUUCGAAGCAACGCGAAGAACCUUACCAAAUCUUGACAUCCUUUGAUCGCUCUAGAGAUAGAGUUUUCCCCUUCGGGGGACAAAGUGACAGGUGGUGCAUGGUUGUCGUCAGCUCGUGUCGUGAGAUGUUGGGUUAAGUCCCGCAACGAGCGCAACCCUUAAGCUUAGUUGCCAUCAUUAAGUUGGGCACUCUAGGUUGACUGCCGGUGACAAACCGGAGGAAGGUGGGGAUGACGUCAAAUCAUCAUGCCCCUUAUGAUUUGGGCUACACACGUGCUACAAUGGAUAAUACAAAGGGCAGCGAACCCGCGAGGUCAAGCAAAUCCCAUAAAAUUAUUCUCAGUUCGGAUUGUAGUCUGCAACUCGACUACAUGAAGCUGGAAUCGCUAGUAAUCGUAGAUCAGCAUGCUACGGUGAAUACGUUCCCGGGUCUUGUACACACCGCCCGUCACACCACGAGAGUUUGUAACACCCGAAGCCGGUGGAGUAACCUUUUAUUAGGAGCUAGCCGUUUAAAGGGGAACCGGGGGA
RNAcentral lists this ribosomal RNA (1516 nucleotides) under Mammaliicoccus lentus. RNAcentral describes it as "bacterial SSU rRNA". It matches the Rfam family "Bacterial small subunit ribosomal RNA". The record is from RNAcentral. Lineage: Bacteria; Bacillati; Bacillota; Bacilli; Caryophanales; Staphylococcaceae.